This 459-nucleotide ribosomal RNA is filed under the name uncultured bacterium. RNAcentral's name for it is "partial 16S ribosomal RNA". It matches the Rfam family "Bacterial small subunit ribosomal RNA", at positions 338 to 795 of the family's 1533-position model. The record is from RNAcentral.
CCUACGGGAGGCAGCAGUGAGGAAUAUUGGUCAAUGGGCGAGAUCCUGAACCAGCCAAGCCGCGUGAGGGAAGACGGCCCUAUGGGUUGUAAACCUCUUUUGUCGGGGAACAAAACCCGGGACGUGUCCCGGCCUGCGUGUAUCCGAAGAAAAAGCAUCGGCUAACUCCGUGCCAGCAGCCGCGGUAAUACGGAGGAUGCGAGCGUUAUCCGGAUUUAUUGGGUUUAAAGGGUGCGUAGGCGGUACGUUAAGUCAGCGGUAAAAUUGCGGGGCUAAACCCCUUCGAGCCGUUGAAACUGGGAGUCUUGAGUGGGCGAGACGUACGCGGAAUGCGUGGUGUAGCGGUGAAAUGCAUAGAUAUCGCGCAGAACUCCGAUUGCGAAGGCAGCGUACCGGCGCCCGACUGACGCUGAGGCACGAAAGCGUGGGGAUCGAACAGGAUUAGAUACCCGUGUAGUC